UUCGUCGUCGUGUAAUCCGGUCUAGUAUGCGCGGCUGUCGCCCGCACGACCCGGGUUCAAAUCCCGGCCAAGGGG
This 75-nucleotide transfer RNA is filed under the name Candidatus Bathyarchaeota archaeon. Its description in RNAcentral is "tRNA-Asp". The record is from RNAcentral. Lineage: Archaea; Thermoproteati; Candidatus Bathyarchaeota.